This is a long non-coding RNA of Sapajus apella (tufted capuchin), 490 nucleotides long. RefSeq lists it as uncharacterized. The transcript is spliced from 2 exons. The record is from RefSeq and is a predicted model, not a curated record. Lineage: Eukaryota; Metazoa; Chordata; Mammalia; Primates; Cebidae.
ACACCCACGCUUCCCCUCGCUGGGCUGGGAAGGAGAGCUUUGCGGGUUUAGACUGCAGUCUCCCCCGCCCCUAGCCACCUGUGUGCCGGCUCCGCAGACGAGGUCCCCCCAGCACCCUGGCAGGGACCGUGCCAUCAACAGACAAAUGGCAGCCGACCAAGGAGGCGACUGGCGUGGGGAACAGAGAGAAGGUGUUCAAGGAGAAAGAGGCGGCGUGACGAGACGCGUUUACCCACGGCUCGUAUACGCGACCAUAUGCCAGCAGGUUUCAGCGAAGUCCGGCAGGCGCCGGGAUUCCGUUUUUCCGAGAAAGCCCGUGCAGUAGCCCGGGUGCCCGGACCCGCUCGUCUCCCAAGCCGGUUCCCACACUCGCUGCCCAGCGCCUGGCGAGGAAGGAGCGGGCGAGGUUCCCGCGAGUCGCCGUCACGGGUUUCCGAGGGUACCGUUACGACUCGUUACAUAAUAUUAAACAAUUAAGAUUUAAAAAUGG